AGUGAACGCUGGCGGUAUGCCUAACACAUGCAAGUCGAACGGCAGCACAGUAAGAGCUUGCUCUUACCGGUGGCGAGUGGCGGACGGGUGAGAAAUACAUCUGUAUCUACUUGUUCGUGGGGGAGAACGUAGGGAAACUAACACUAAUACCGCUCACGACCUACGGGUGAAAGCAGGUGAUCUUCGGACCUUUCGCGUUGGAAUAAGCCGAUGUCGGAUUAGCUAGUUGUCGGGGUAAAGGCCUACCAAGGCGACGAUCCGUAGCUGGUCUGAGAGGAUGAACAGCCACACUGGAACUGAGACACGGUCCAGACUCCUACGGGAGGCAGCAGUGGGGAAUAUUGGACAAUGGGCGCAAGCCUGAUCCAGCAAUACCGCGUGGGUGAAGAAGGCCUUCGGGUUGUAAAGCACUUUUGUCGGGAAAGAAAAGCAGGAGGUUAAUACCGCCCUGUUCUGACGGUACCCAAAGAAUAAGCACCGGCUAACUUCGUG
This 492-nucleotide ribosomal RNA is filed under the name uncultured bacterium. RNAcentral's name for it is "partial 16S ribosomal RNA". It matches the Rfam family "Bacterial small subunit ribosomal RNA", at positions 29 to 507 of the family's 1533-position model. The record is from RNAcentral.